CACGUAGGCGGUGCCGUAAGUCGGGUGUGAAAUCCCUCGGCCUAACCGAGGAACUGCGCCCGAUACUGCGGUGCUUGAGGACCAGAGGGGUGCAUGGAAUUUCCGGUGGAGCGGUGAAAUGCGUUGAUAUCGGAAGGAACUCCGGCGGCGAAAGCGACGCACUGGCUGGUUAACUGACGCUGAGGUGCGAAAGCCAGGGGAGCAAACGGGAUUAGAUACCCCGGUAGUCCUGGCCGUAAACGAUGGGUACUAGGUAGGGGGAUUUCAAACGUCUCUCUGCUGGAGUGAAUAUAUUAAGUACCCCGCCUGGGAAGUACAGUCGCAAGGCUGAA
RNAcentral lists this ribosomal RNA (332 nucleotides) under uncultured bacterium. RNAcentral's name for it is "bacterial SSU rRNA". It matches the Rfam family "Bacterial small subunit ribosomal RNA", at positions 568 to 898 of the family's 1533-position model. The record is from RNAcentral.